This 28-nucleotide small RNA is filed under the name Bombyx mori (domestic silkworm). RNAcentral describes it as "ovarian small RNA-13246". Lineage: Eukaryota; Metazoa; Arthropoda; Insecta; Lepidoptera; Bombycidae. The record is from RNAcentral.
CAGCGUCUAAGAGCAUGAGUUCCGAGAC